GAAUCCCGUCUUUGGCACGGACCCCCAGGGCUUCUGUGAUGCGCUCUCGAAGAGUCGAGUUGUUUGGGAAUGCAGCUCAAAAUGGGUGGUGAACUCCAUCUAAAGCUAAAUAUUGGCGAGAGACCGAUAGCGAACAAGUACCGUGAGGGAAAGAUGAAAAGCACUUUGGAAAGAGAGUGAAACAGUACGUGAAAUUGUUGAAAGGGAAACGCUUGAAGUCAGUCGCGUCGAUCGAGACUCAGCCUUGCCUCGGCUUGGCGUACUUCUCGGCUUGACGGGUCAGCAUCAAUUUUGCCCCUUGGAUAAUGGCGAGGGAAAUGUGACACCUUUAUAGGUGUGUUAUAGUCUCUCGUCGCAUGCAAGGGUCGGGAUUGAGGAACUCAGCACGCGCCUUCGGGCGUCGGGGCCUUGCCCACGAUACGUGCUUAGGAUGUUGGCGUAAUGGCUUUAAACGACCCGUCUUGAAACACGGACCAAGGAGUCUAACAUGCCCGCGAGUGUUCGGGUGGAAAACCCGUGCGCGCAAUGAAAGUGAAAGUUGGGACCUCUGUCGCGGAGGGCACCGACGCCCGGACCAGAGCUUCUGCGACGGAUCUGCGGUGGAGCGUGUAUGUUAGGACCCGAAAGAUGGUGAACUAUGCCUGAAUAGGGUGAAGCCAGAGGAAACUCUGGUGGAGGCUCGUAGCGAUUCUGACGUGCAAAUCGAUCGUCAAAUUUGGGUAUAGGGGCGAAAGACUAAUCGAACCAUCUAGUAGCUGGUUCCUGCC
This 767-nucleotide ribosomal RNA is filed under the name uncultured Russula. RNAcentral's name for it is "partial 28S ribosomal RNA". It matches the Rfam family "Eukaryotic large subunit ribosomal RNA", at positions 216 to 962 of the family's 3401-position model. The record is from RNAcentral. Lineage: Eukaryota; Fungi; Basidiomycota; Agaricomycetes; Russulales; Russulaceae.